Long non-coding RNA from Equus asinus (donkey), 1871 nucleotides. The record is from Ensembl. NCBI's taxonomy places the organism in Eukaryota, Metazoa, Chordata, Mammalia, Perissodactyla, Equidae.
GUUUUGGAAUUGGAAGUGUGAGGUGGUUGGGCCCUGAGGUGAGUGGUAGGGGGAAAUGUUGCUCUUGGAUCUCUUGGUGAGGAAUAAAUGUCACCUGUUUCCUAAGAGUCCUUCUCUCCCUCAGGAAGUCUGGGGUGUGGGCCAUAUCUCUACUCCUCACCUGACCCUAAUGAAAAUGGGGAGCAGUUCCCCUUUCCCCUUCCUCUACCAUUCCCAGAACAGUAGGGAGAAUAGAACUUGUAGCUCUGAAAAUGAUAAGAGAUAGGAAUAUUUUACUGAAAACAGCUGCUUAUUUUCAUUUAGAAAAAGUUGCUGACUCCAGAGACUCUCACAGGUGGGCAGUCAAUGGGGGGCUGUGUAUGGAUGGGUUUUGCGAUUGUGGACACUGGAGUAGCCAGGGCAGAGUCUAGGAACUGGGUGGGUCCUGCUGAAGAGUCUGUUAUACGUAGGGUUUUAAUCUGUCUAGAAGGUAUAUUUUGAAAUCUACAAUGAGGUCUCCUAGCUUGUGAGGGACGCUGAAGAUCAGGAAGAGCCGCACCUCAGGUAAACCUCUUCAGGAGGCCUAGCUUGAUAGCAGUAUUGCAAGACCAAGAGGUCACCUGGCCAUCUCUGAAGGAAUGGUCAUCGGGCAGCCACUCAGGAUCUGGGUUCCCUGCUCCAGGGUCUCUCACAAGGCUGCAAUUAAGGUAUCAGCUGGGGCUGGGGUCUCAUCUGAAGGCUCAACUGGAGAAGGACAUAGUUCUGAGCUUGCUUAUAUAGCUGUUGGCAGGAUGCAGCUCCUCAAGGCCUGUUGGACUGAGAUCCUCAAUUCCUGGUGGCUGUGGGCUGGAGUUGGCUGGAGGCAAUCCUCAGUUCCUUCUCCUGUGGGCCUCUCCAACAUGGAAGCUUGCUUCAUUAAAGCCAGGAGAGAGUCUGACAGCAAGACAGAAGUCACAAUCUUUUGUAAACUAAUAAUGGAAAUGACAUCCCAUCACCUUUCCCUUAUUCUAUUAGUCAGAAGCAAAUCACUAAGUCCAGCCUACUCUCAAGGGGAGGGGUAAUUACCCAAAGGUGUGAAUAUCAGGAGGCGGGGAUCAUUGGAACAUUCUUAGACGUCUUCCUAACACCAGGGUUUCUUCUUGGACACCCCACUCAGUUCACUGAAGCAAAAGUGGCCAAAGGUGCCAAGUGGAUCCUUGUUCUCAUCCAUAUCCAUGUCUUCAAGGUCAAAGCUGCUUAAGAGCUGAGUGGAGUGGUGGCUGAAAAACGUCAAAGAGGUUGGAGCAUCCAAAGAAGGAGAAAAAGGUGGCGUGGAGGGAGAGGUGGUGUGGGGUCAUCAUGAAUGGUAAAGUGAAAGGAGCCCUUAGAACCACCUGAUUCACCACUGCCAGUAUUCAGACUUAGAGGGGAGGAAAAGCUAGGUGCAGUAUGGCUCACCCUGGCUCCACCUCAGUCUCUCCACUCUGCUCUAGCUCCCAGACAACAAGCCUAAAGAAGCAACCUUCAGCUCCUGCAGAGACAGCCAGGCUUAUAGAGGAAGCAAACCCUACAGGUUGCAUUUAAACCCAACAGGUUUAAUUUCUGCUCUUAUUAAUAUAUUUAAUAUAACAUAUCCAUCAUUUCAAAUUUGAUCCUCACAGUUUGAACAUCAGAAUGAGUCACACAAUCGAUGGCAAAGCCCGUACUAGGGGACUCAGAGCAUGUCACUCCCAUUCUGGGAUGUUUUCCAUCUACCCACGGCCGGAGGACUUCUAACCAAGGGGAGGUGGUGGCCCAAAGGGGCUGAUGUAUUGGCUAGGGUCACAUAACAAGUCACACCUGGUGCCCAGAUACUUGCUUCCAUUCAGAGAAACACUGGAUGAGACAAGGAGACAGAAUUUGCACACUCAGCA